CACGUAGGGAGCAAGCGUUAUCCGGAUUUACUGGGUGUAAAGGGCGUGUAGGCGGGCCUGCAAGUCAGAAGUGAAAUCUGGGGGCUUAACCCCCAAACUGCUUUUGAAACUGUGGAUCUUGAGUGAUGGAGAGGCAGGCGGAAUUCCCAGUGUAGCGGUGAAAUGCGUAGAUAUUGGGAGGAACACCAGUGGCGAAGGCGGCCUGCUGGACAUUAACUGACGCUGAGGCGCGAAAGCGUGGGGAGCAAACAGG
RNAcentral lists this ribosomal RNA (253 nucleotides) under uncultured bacterium. Its description in RNAcentral is "partial 16S ribosomal RNA". It matches the Rfam family "Bacterial small subunit ribosomal RNA", at positions 524 to 776 of the family's 1533-position model. The record is from RNAcentral.